This 497-nucleotide ribosomal RNA is filed under the name uncultured bacterium. RNAcentral describes it as "partial 16S ribosomal RNA". It matches the Rfam family "Bacterial small subunit ribosomal RNA", at positions 28 to 507 of the family's 1533-position model. The record is from RNAcentral.
GAUGAACGCUGGCGGCGUGCCUAAUACAUGCAAGUCGAGCGAACGGACGAGGAGCUUGCUCCUCUGACGUUAGCGGCAGACGGGUGAGUAACACGUGGAUAACCUACCUAUAAGACUGGGAUAACUUCGGGAAACCGGAGCUAAUACCGGAUAAUAUAUUGAACCGCAUGGUUCAAUAGUGAAAGACGGUUUUGCUGUCACUUAUAGAUGGAUCCGCGCUGCAUUAGCUAGUUGGUAAGGUAACGGCUUACCAAGGCAACGAUGCAUAGCCGACCUGAGAGGGUGAUCGGCCACACUGGAACUGAGACACGGUCCAGACUCCUACGGGAGGCAGCAGUAGGGAAUCUUCCGCAAUGGGCGAAAGCCUGACGGAGCAACGCCGCGUGAGUGAUGAAGGUCUUCGGAUCGUAAAACUCUGUUAUUAGGGAAGAACAAAUGUGUAAGUAACUAUGCACGUCUUGACGGUACCUAAUCAGAAAGCCACGGCUAACUACGUG